Ictalurus punctatus (channel catfish) is the source of this 1123-nucleotide long non-coding RNA. Lineage: Eukaryota; Metazoa; Chordata; Actinopteri; Siluriformes; Ictaluridae. The record is from Ensembl.
GCUGUCUUUUUCUCUUUGUAAUUUUGGAGUUCAUGGAAGGGACAGGAACACAGGUAAACACUGUCAACAUAGGCAAAUAUGUUCCAAAAGGAAAAUAAAUAUGUUAUGUAGCACUGCCAGAUUAUUAGCUAUACCUUCCUUUACCUGCAGAGAUAGGGUAUUUUAUUAGAUAAUCUACUAUAAAGAUACUCUUGGAAGGAAACAUUUAUUGAAUCUGCUAUGCACAAUUUGUCGGCCCAGGUACAUUGUUCAUCAAAUAGGAAGGGACCGUCAUGGGAUGACCAUGGGAGGAUCUCUCUCGGCACAGCAGUGACACUGACACGUGAUGCUGGCAUGAGUAUAUCAGAAGUAGCCAGUGGGGACAUCAUGUGAAAUCGGACUCGACGAGCAGCGGCAGGCUUUUCCACAGCUCACUUCCAAAGCGACAGCUGUCUCCCCUCAUCCGGCCAAACAUGGGCUGAGAGGAAAACGAAAAGGAGGGAGGAAUGAAGUGUGAGUCAGGAUCAGAAAUUAACACCUGACAAGAAGCGUUCUGCUGCUGAAGUGAAAUCGAAUGUGUCCAGUGUUUCUCUACAGCUUGAGAUGUACACCAGCCUGGUGACCUUCUCCUCCUGAUGCAGGAUGUAACACGUUACAGGAGGGAAAAAAAUGCGCAGGCAGAGACCUUAUUUAGGUAUGCAAUUACGAACGUACUUUAUUUAAUGCAUGUCUGCUUCAUGUCGAUAUUUUUACCAGACAUUGUGUCCGAUAGUUUUGGAUUUUUUCACACAUUAUCAAACUUUUUAAUGGGCGAAAAACAGUAUUUACCAUCUAACAGAAACUCUGGUACAGUUAUGUAAAAACCAGACAUAAGUAUAGUAACAAAGGAAUUGCCAAACAGGAACGGACAUUUAACUUGGCUGUAUUAUAAACACUCAGAACAGUCAACAAACUUGACUAUUAACCUCCAUGGCCUGCAUCACCUCAUAAGUGGCACCAUGAUUACAGCAAAGUGAGUCCCACUUUUAACCAGGGUCGCUGUUAUUUUCCAGGCUUGUUAAGCCCUACUAUUAAAUCACUCCAAAAAUCAAAGAGGAUAACAAUUGCCCAGUGACUACGCAUCAAACUGUCGGCUAUACAUAAU